This 863-nucleotide long non-coding RNA is filed under the name Nannospalax galili (Upper Galilee mountains blind mole rat). Its description in RNAcentral is "lncRNA (ENSNGAG00000024477.1)". The record is from RNAcentral. Lineage: Eukaryota; Metazoa; Chordata; Mammalia; Rodentia; Spalacidae.
AACAGAAACUGGAACUGGAACACUGUUCCUAUCCCAUUAUUACUAAGGUACUGUUCUACCCAGCAGCCCUGCAGAUUCUCCUCAUGCAACUUUGAGCCCUGCUCUGCACUCCCCACUGGAGCUAGGAAAAGGAAGCAGUCACAACAGACAGACACUCAGCCCUGAGCCCAGGCUGCAGUGGUUGAAGGGAUACACCCAGGCCUUCAUUCUUUCAUUUUUCAGACAGAAGAAUGCAAAGGAAGAAUGCAGGCACUUUUUCACUCUAAAAGUCUUUGCCAAACUCCUUCAUGCAGAUUCAUAUGGAAGAAUUUCCAUCAUGCAGUUCUUUAACUAUGUCAUGCGAAAAGGUGAUUCAGUUGCGUAUGUGUGUAUUUGAAUUUCUCUUGUCUGGGACUCAGGUUUUUGGUCUGUGCUUUUAUACUCUUUUUCUCAUGUGACACAACAUCCUUACUCUGCUACUAUGAUUUUCUUAUGUGCCUUAAUUGGGUCAUUAUUUUAAACAAGCAAAAGCCUCAUGUAUCAUAGAUAGUAGCAAAAUAGAAACAUCAAAAGCAGAACUACUUUUUUUUCUGCCAGACUGCUGCCCUCGUGGGUCACAUGCAUACACCCUUGAAGGGCCUGUCUCAGUCUGCUCUGUUCUGUAACUUGGCCAGAGUUGACAUCUGACAACAUGAAGAAGCAGAUUUACAAAGUGAACAAGAAAGGCCUGGCUCCCUUACAAAUAGGUGUGAUCCUGAGAGCCUCAAAUGGUUUUGCAUUGUGCAUUGUGUGACUGGCAAUACACUUUACAGAAUCCUUAAGUCCAGAGGACUUCUACCUAAUCUUCCUGAGGAUCUAUGGGUCAUCUACAGCCUCUGCCCUAG